UGGGGAAUAUUGGGCAAUGGGCGCAAGCCUGACCCAGCAACGCCGCGUGAAGGAAGAAGGCUUUCGGGUUGUAAACUUCUUUUAUGAGGGACGAAGGAAGUGACGGUACCUCAUGAAUAAGCUCCGGCUAACUACGUGCCAGCAGCCGCGGUAAUACGUAGGGAGCGAGCGUUAUCCGGAUUUACUGGGUGUAAAGGGCGUGUAGGCGGGGAAGCAAGUCAGAUGUGAAAACCAGUGGCUCAACCACUGGCCUGCAUUUGAAACUGUUUUUCUUGAGUGAUGGAGAGGCAGGCGGAAUUCCGUGUGUAGCGGUGAAAUGCGUAGAUAUACGGAGGAACACCAGUGGCGAAGGCGGCCUGCUGGACAUUAACUGACGCUGAGGCGCGAAAGCGUGGGGAGCAAACAGG
Molecule: ribosomal RNA, 407 nt
Filed under: uncultured bacterium
Lineage: Bacteria
Description: bacterial SSU rRNA
Rfam family: Bacterial small subunit ribosomal RNA
Source: RNAcentral